RNAcentral lists this long non-coding RNA (21892 nucleotides) under Gossypium barbadense (sea-island cotton). RNAcentral describes it as "long non-coding RNA (GBAR_LNC016799)". The record is from RNAcentral. Lineage: Eukaryota; Viridiplantae; Streptophyta; Magnoliopsida; Malvales; Malvaceae.
UAUGCCCUUGCGUGGACACUUGGACUUUUCAUUUGCGUCUGCAUGGCAUCCUGAUGGUGUCACUUUUGCAACCGGGAACCAAGACAAAACAUGCCGAAUUUGGGAUGUUCGAAACUUGUCAAAGUCAAUUGCUGUUCUAAAGGGAAACCUUGGAGCAAUACGGUCCAUUCGCUACACAUCUGAUGGUAAGUACAUGGCCAUGGCUGAGCCUGCUGACUUUGUGCAUGUGUAUGAUGUCAAAAGUGGGUACGAGAAUGAGCAAGAAAUCGAUUUCUUUGGUGAGAUAUCCGGCCUAUCCUUUAGUCCGGACACAGAGUCUCUCUUUAUUGGCGUAUGGGAUCGUACAUAUGGCAGCCUUCUUGAGUAUGGCCGCAUAUCGGACAUAUGUUAAAAAAUUAAAAAUAGUUUAAAAUAUAUAAAUUAAUUUUAAAAAGUAUGACUUUUUGGACAAGUUCGAGUACCAAUUAAGUAUUUUUUGGAUAGUAUUAACCUUUAAAAAAUUAACAUUGUUAACCAAUUGGGGUAAUGUGUGCGACGUACCAACUAAAUAUUUAACAUUGUUAACUUAAAAUAUUUAAAUAUCAACUAAAUAGUUUUAGACAAAUUCAAAAGAUAAACUACGUACUAACCAUUUACUAUAUGAAUAUAGGGUUGAGCAGAAGUUGGGACAAUAUAAUUUAACGUAUAUUCUAACAUUUUUUUUAAUUUAAGCUUAACGGAAAUAAAAUUCAGAUUUAUUUUUGACAUCUAUAUUCAUUUCAAAAUGAUUUUGUCUCAUUUAUUUUGCUUAAAUCACAAAUGGUGUUUUAAUUAUUCACUUUUUUCUAGUUUAACUUUUUUGCAGUAUCUAAAUUUUACUUCGUUCCUUAAAAUGGUACUUAAAAUAUACUAUUUUUUUCAAUUUGGUACCUAAACAUUUUCUAUUACAAGUGAUACCUAAACUAUACCCCAUUAUCUAAAGUAGUAUUUAAACUAUACUCUAUUGCUCAAAUUACCCGAACUGUUAAAAAAUUCUUCUUAUCCAAACAUGACACUUCUAAAUUAAAAACAAAUUAAAUUUAAUUAAAUUAAAACUUUUCAAUCUUUUUGCACUCUAUUCAUCCCCCACUUUUCACAUAUUUAUUUUGGUAUAAUCAUAAAAGUGUCCUCAUUCAUUUGAGUAUUCAAGUAAAGUUGUUCCAAAAAUGCCGAUUUCCAAAUUCUAAUUUAAUUGCUCGAGCAUAUAAUAUAUUUAUUUUGGUAUAAUUACUAAAAUAUCCCCAUUCAUUUGAGUCUUUUCAACAAUGUUGAUUUCAAAUUUUGAACUUAAUUUAAAUAUCUAUGAAAGAAAUCUGCUUCCACUUCUUCCAACUAUUUGUUGGUGUGGGGAACAUAUUUAUAAUUUUACUAGGAUUAUAUUAUACUCGAACUUGAAAGAAAAUUGGGAAGAAUUUUCACAGUUACUGGCAAUGCAUUUAACAACUUUUUGCAAUCUUUUCUUUCUAGAAAAAAACCCCUCCACAUACUAAAUUAAAUUACACUUUUCACUAUAAUACACUAAUUAUUUAGACAUUUUAACCUAGCUGAAGGUGUCCAAUUUUAAUAUAUAUGGGGAGCUAGAGUAUCAAGUUAGAUUUAAGAAAUAGAAGCUGGAGGAGAGAGAAAAUCAAGUAAAAGAUUGAAAUUAAUAUGACAAAGUAAGAACAUCAAGAUUUUGAUAUAUUUUUAAGUUUGAUAUUAUUGAAAAAGUAUGGAAAUGAUGUUAAUGUAAAGUUUUCGUAUAUAUGGUCCUAUGUUCUUGAUAUGUUAGUGAAGAGAAAAUAAGAGAAAGUGAUGAGAAAUAGUGUAGAGAAAUAAAAUAAGGGUGUUAUAAACAUGGUAAUAAACAUCUUGCACUAAAGUAGUUUUGGACAGCAACAGUAGGUUAACUUUGAAAAAUCACCAUAAAUUAUGGGAAUCGAAUUCGAGGAUGAAAAAAAUAUGGAAUUAAAUAUUAUUAAGUCUAGUUUCUCAUAGAAGAAACGGUGUUGUUCAAGUAACGUCAGGAAGAGCAACUACUGGAGGAGUGGUACGGGAUGGUACUGGUGAUUGGGUGAUUGGUUAUAAUAGAUUCCUAGGGAAUUGUUCGAUUUUUGACGCGGAACUUUGGGGCAUUUUGGAUGGCUUAAAACUCUUCCAACGUAGAGGUCAUAGCAGUGUAGUUGUUCACUUUGAUAGCUUGGAGGUAGUAAAAGCUAUUCAUGGCAAUAUUUCGAAGAUCUCAAACUCUACCCUGAUCAAAAGAAUACAUAGUAUUUUGUCCCAAGAAAGUCAAUGGAUUUAAGAUAUAUGUAAUGGCCCAAAUUUGAGGUUAUCGGAACAGUGGUUUCGGAACCACAAAUUCGAUGAGAAAAAUUUUAUUUUUCUUAUAUUUUUAUGGUCUAAAAUUUCACAAAAUGAUUUUUUUGAAAAUUUCGUUCGAAAAUUUCGACGUUUGGGCACUCAAUUUAGUCAAAAGGACUAAAUUGUAAAAAGUGCAAAAGUUGAGUUCUACAUGUUAGAGGUGUCCAAUUGUUAUGAAACUUUAAAUUGGAGGUCCUUAUAUGGUAAUUAUAUCAUUGGUAACUUGGUAGACAAAAAUAGACAUGAGAUAAGUGAAAUAGAAAAUUUUUAAGUUAGGGGCAAUUUGGUAAUCUAGUAAUUAAAAUGAAUUAAAAGGGAAAAAGAUGGCAAAAAUCAUCAUCUUCUUCAUAUGAACGAAAUCAGCAAGGGGGGAAGCCAUAGUUAGGGUUUUCAAGCUUCCAAGCUCCAUAGUAAGUGAUCCCAAGCCCCGUUUUUAAUGUUCUUUACGUUUUUGAGAUCCCGGUAGCUUAAUUUAGCUUAUUCUAGCAAUAAUUUAACCUAGGGUUUAUAUUUGGAAAAAUACCCAUAGGUGAAAAGUGUUUAUUUUGAUGUUUUAUGAUAGAAAAUGAAGCUAUAAAUUAUGUUAAACAACUUUUGCUAAGCGAUUUUAAGUGAAAACGAGUAAAACGACAUAAUCGGUAAAAAUACCUAAUGUUCAUAAGUACAUGUUAGAGUGGGAAUUUGAUGUUGCCAUAGAAGGGAAAAAUGUUCAGAAUGUUAUAAAACAUAAGAAUAAGAGAUGAAGUUUAAUUUCCGAGCCUUGGGGAAAAAAUGUAAUUAUGUAAAAGUUUAGGGGCAAAAUUGUAAUUUUUAAAAAGUUAGAGUCGAGGGCUGUUUUGAUGAAUGUGAUUAUUAAAUAAGUUAAAUUUACUAUUUUAGAUCAAGAAGUACGAAACUCGAGGUUAGACAAAAGGAAGAAUAAAGUUGAAGACUAAGUUGGUGAAUUUGGCUAUAAUUGGUACCGAGAUAAGUUUACGGUAAAUAAAUGUAAUAUUUCAAUAUUUAUUAUUAAUGUUGUUAAUUUCCAGCAAUUAUGAAUUUCUUUUAUGAAUUUAUUUGAUGAUGAUCCAAGCAUGAAAUGAUAGAGAAUUAAAAUUUAAAAGUCCCGUUGAUACAUAAGGAUGGUACUGGAUACGAAUGUCAUGACAUUUGGGUAAAGAGAUCCCAUGUAAGACCAUGUCUGGGACAUGGCAUUGGCAUCCUUAAGAUCAUGAGAGGUCCCCUGUAAGACCAUGUCUGGGACAUGGCAUGGGCACCGAGACGAGAGGUCCCAUGUAAGACCAUGUCUGGGACAUGGCGUUGGCACCGAGAUGAGAGGUCCCCUAUAAGACCAUGUCUGGGACAUGGCAUGGGCACCAUCACGAGAACAUCCCAUGUAAGACCAUGUCUGGGACAUGGCUUUGGCAUGUUAUUAUCAGAAGAGACCCGAGUAUCCUUAUUAUUCCAAUGUAGCUCAACGGGCUUGUAAACGAAUCAUGUUCAUGAAAGUUCAGUUUAAAGCAUAAAUGGCAAGCUCAGGUAAGUUGUAAGACUUAAGAACUUAUUAUACUAUCAAUUGAUGUUCAACGAUGCAGCAAGGAUUGAGUAAGUUAUGCACACAAGUAUUCUAAGUAAACAAGUAAGAGAACUAGUAUGAGAUUAACUAAAGAGUAAACUAGAGAUAUAGACAUUGAGUUUAAUUAUUUAAGUUAAAUAUUGUUAUUUAUUUGCUAGUAAACUUACUAAGCUUUAUGCUUACUUCUUUUAUUUCUCUUUCUCUUAUAGUAUUGCAAAGCUACUUCAAGGAUCCUAAAGAAGUCGGAGAUCGUCCACACUAUCAACUACAACUGCUCGGUAUUUUAUAUCGAAACACGUUUGAGUUAUGGCAUGUAUAGGGAUUUAGUUAUUUUGUAUGUUUGUAAUGAUGAUUUUGCUAAUGAGUGAUGUGUAAGUAUUUGAUGAUGUAUGGUUAUUAAAAUGAUUAAGGAUGAAGGUGUUUGUUGUUAUGAAAGAUUAGGUGAUAAAUUAUGCAUAGAAAUCAUGAAAGGAUAAAAUUUUGCAAAGAAACAGAAUUCAGGCAGCACAGUGACGUGAAUUUGAAAAAUCACCCAAGAUAGUAUAAAAUGAAUUAGAGGGUGAAUGAUAUAUGGAAUUAAAGCUUGUUGAGUCUAUUUUCAUGGAAAAAUAACGGUGUAGAAAAAGGAAAUUUAUAUUUUAAGAUAUGUGAAUUUUAGUAAGAUAAGGUCAGAACUGUUUUUGGAGUCCCUUGUUCUGAGUUUAGAAAAUAAUUAAAAAUUGUACAAAAAUGGUUAUGAGUUGAAAUUUACAUGCUUAGAUUUCUUAAUGAGUCUAUUUUCUGUAGAAACAAGUAAGAACUUCAUAUGAAAAUCCUACAGUGAGAAAACUUAUUUUUAGUGACUAGAGGUCAGGGCAGUCAGGUGGUGAAACAGGAGAGACUUUAACUAAUAAACUGUACUAAUUUGCUGAACCAAAAAUUCUAAAAAUUUUAUGGUGAGUAGAUAUAUGAGUCUAGUUUCAGGGAAAAUUUACGGAAUUAAAUUUCGAGUUCUGUAGCUCAAGUUAUAAUUAAUUUAGUAACUGCUGCGCGAUUGGACAGAUUUGCUGUGAAUAAUGAAAUAAAUUUUCAAACCUAGUUUUUAUGCUCCGAAUUGGUAAGAUAAGCUAAGUAAUGCCUCGUGCUCGACUCCGGAAACGGUCUCGGGUAAGGGGUGUUACAUUUUAUUGGUAUCAGAGCAGGUUUAGUCGGUUCUCGGAAAUACUCAGUAAGAAUAAGAGUCUACCUAUACAUGCCAUACUUAUAUAUUUUGAUAGUGUGACGACUCCUGACGAUUUUAAAAUGUUUUCUUUUAUAGUUAUGGAUCCUGAACGAGCUAGUACAGAUGAAGUAGAGAGUAAUGCGCCUAUUCCCGCAGAAGGGACGGUGCCAUCAGAUGUUAAUGUUAGUGAAAGACCUGCAUCAGAUAGACAAGGAGGAGGAGCUAGAGAAGCCUUCUUCCAAGCCAUGACUGAUUGGUUUGCCGAGUUCGUUCGUACGAAUCCGGCUGUAAGACCUCCACCCCCUCAAGAUUCACAGGUUCCCCAUGUAGCUUCCCCAGCUACAGGUAUAUUUAUCAGGGAGAGACCACCUGUUGAUAAGAUUAGGAAGCAAGGGGCUGAAGAAUUUCGGGCUACCAAAGAUGACGAUGCAGAAAAAGCAGAAUUCUGGCUUGAGAAUACCAUCAGGGUUUUUGAAGAAUUAUCUUGUACACCGGAAGAAUGUAUGAAGUGUGUGGUCUCACUUCUCAGAGAUUCCGCUUAUCAUUGGUGGAAGACAAAAAUAUGUUGUGUUGAAAUGCCAGAAUGGAGAAUUACUUUGGGUUAAAUCUAAUCAGACAAAAGGGAUUAUCCGAUAUGAUUUCAGUUAUGACAGCUCAGAGGUGUGUUAGAAAAGGGUAUGAUGUUUAUUUGGCGUAUGUGUUGGAUACUAAGGUAUCUGAGUCAAAGAUACAGGCAGUGCCAGUUGUAUGUGAAUUUUCUGAUGUAUUUCCAGAGGAGUUACCAGGGUUGCCACCAGAAAGAGAAGUGGAAUUUUCUAUAGAUCUGAUUCCGGGAACUGCCCCAAUUUCCAUAGCUCCGUAUCGUAUGGCUCCUACAGAAUUAAAAGAGUUAAAGGCACAGUUACAGGAACUUGUUGACAGAGGUUUUGUUCGUCCGAGUCAUUCACCUUGGGGUGCUCCAAUUCUGUUUGUAAAAAAGAAAGACGGGUCUUUGAGAUUGUGUAUUGACUAUCGGCAGCUUAAUAAGGUAACUAUAAAGAAUAAGUACCCAUUGCCUCGAAUUGAUGACUUAUUUGAUCAACUGAAAGGUGCCACAGUAUUUUCAAAGAUUGAUCUCCGAUCGGGUUAUUAUCAGUUACGGGUAAAAGAGCCAGAUGUGCCAAAGACAGCUUUCAGAACCAGGUAUGGGCAUUAUGAGUUUCUGGUUAUGCCGUUUGGACUGACUAAUGCACCUGCAGUAUUCAUGGAUUUGAUGAACCGGAUAUUCAGACCGUAUCUAGAUAGGUUUGUAGUAGUUUUCAUUGAUGACAUUCUAGUUUAUUCACGAGAUGAAAAUGAGCAUGCAAAACAUUUGAGAAUAGUGUUGCAAAUUCUGCGUGAAAAGAAGCUUUAUGCUAAAUUCAGUAAAUGUGAAUUUUGGCUUCGAGAGUUAGGUUUUCUCGGACAUAUUGUAUCCACAGAAGGCAUCAGGGUAGAUCCGAGUAAAAUUUCAGCUAUUGUUGAUUGGAGUCCACCGAAGAAUGUAUCUGAAGUUAGAAGUUUCUUGGGUUUAGCUGGUUAUUAUCGGAGAUUUGUACAAGGGUUUUCUAUGAUAGCUUCUCCAAUGACCCGUUUAUUACAGAAAGAUGUUAAAUUUGAAUGGACAGAAAAAUGCCAGCAAAGUUUCGACCGAUUGAAGGAGUUGUUAACGAAAGCACCUGUGUUGGUACAGCCUGAAUCGGGUAAGGAAUUUAUUAUUUAUAGUGAUGCAUCAUUAAAUGGUUUGGGUUGUGUCUUGAUGCAAGAAGAUAAAGUAAUAGCCUAUGCUUCAAGACAACUUAAGCCACAUGAAAGAAACUACCCGGUACAUGAUCUCGAGUUAGCUGCUAUUGUAUUUGCAUUGAAAAUAUGGCGGCAUUAUUUGUAUGGUGAAAAGUGUCAUAUUUAUACUGAUCACAAAAGCUUGAAAUAUUUGAUGACACAGAAAUAUUUGAAUUUGAGACAACGCAGGUGGCUUGAAUUGAUAAAGGAUUAUGAUUUGGUUAUUGAUUACCAUCCGGGUAAGGCAAACGUGGUAGUUGAUGCUUUGAGCCGAAAAUCUCUGUUUGUUUUAAGAGCUAUGAAUACCCGGUUGUCACUGUCUAAUGAUGGUUCAAUCAUAGCUGAAUUGAGAGCUAAAUUGACAUUUCGUCAACAAAUAUGUGAAGCUCAGAGGAAUGAUGAGAAAUUACAGGCUAAACGGGUGCAUUGUGAGUCAGGUAAUGAUUCAGAAUUUCAGAUUGGAACUGAUGGUUGUUUAUUAUUCAGAGGCAGAGUAUGUGUACCGAAGAAUUCAGAACUUGUACAGAAGAUUUUACACGAAGCACACAGUGGUAUUAUGUCCGUACAUCCGGGAGGUAAUAAAAUGUAUAAUGACUUGAAAAAGAUGUAUUGGUGGCCGAGUAUGAAACGUGAUAUCUCUGAGUUUGUAUCAAGAUGUUUAGUAUGUCAGCAGGUUAAGGCUGAACAUCAGGUACCUUCGGGGUUGCUUCAGCCAAUCACUAUACCGGAAUGGAAAUGGGAAAGAAUCACUAUGGAUUUUGUAUCUGGGUUACCGUUAUCUCCGAGGAAGAAAGAUGCCAUUUGGGUAAUUGUCGACCGAUUGACAAAGUCCGCGCACUUUAUCCCAGUAUGUAUGGAUUAUUCUUUAGAUAAAUUGGUUGGAUUGUAUAUAUCUGAGAUUGUUAGACUACAUGGAGUGCCUGUCUCCAUUAUAUCAGACAGAGAUCCCCGAUUUACGUCUCGUUUCUGGAACAAAUUGCAAGAAGCUUUGGGUACUCAGUUGUAUUUCAGUACUGCAUUUCAUCCUCAGACAGAUGGCCAAUCUGAGCGUGUAAUUCAGGUAUUGGAAGAUAUGCUCCGAUGUUGUGUAUUAGAGUUUCAAGGUAAUUGGGAAAGGUAUCUACCUUUGGUUGAAUUUGCUUACAAUAACAGUUAUCAAUGCUGUAUUAAAAUGGCUCCGUAUGAAUCUUUGUAUGGUAGAAAAUGUAGAAUACCAUUAUAUUGGACAGAGCUUAGUGAAAAGAAGAUACACGGGGUUGAUUUAAUCCGGGAAACAGAAGAAAAAGUAAGGCUGAUUCGAAAUAGUCUAAAAGCAGCUUCCGACCGUCAGAAGUCAUAUGCCGAUCUUAAACGAAGGGAGAUUGAAUUUCAGGUGGGUGAUAAAGUAUUCUUAAAAGUGUCUCCUUGGAAGAAAGUUCUCCGGUUCGGUUGAAAGGGUAAAUUGAGUGCAAGAUUUAUCGGACCAUAUGAAAUCAUAGAAAGAAUUGGACCGGUUGCUUAUCGAUUGGCUUUACCACCGGAACUCGACAGAAUCCAUAAUGUUUUUCAUGUAUCUAUGUUACGACGGUAUCGGUCAGAUCCUUCACAUGUUAUUACUCCUACAGAAGUGGAGAUUCAGCCGGAUAUGACUUAUAAUGAAGAACCAGUUAAGAUAUUAGCACGGGAAACUAAGGAGCUUAGAAACAAAAAGAUAAAUCUGGUGAAAGUGUUAUGGCAAAAGCACGGGAUUGAGGAAGCGACAUGGGAACCGGAAGAGACAAUGAGGAAACAGUACCCAAACCUCUUUACUGGUAAGAUUUUCGAGGACGAAAAUCCUAAAAGGGGGGAGAGUUGUAAUGGCCCAAAUUUGAGGUUAUCGGAACAAUGGUUUCGGAACCACAAAUCCGAUGAGAAAAAUUUUAUUUUUCUUAUAUUUUUAUGGUCUACAAUUUCACAAAAUGAUUUUCUUGAAAAUUUCGUUCGAAAAUUUCGACGUUUGGGCACUCAAUUUAGUCAAAAGGACUAAAUUGUAAAAAGUGCAAAAGUUGAGUUCUACAUGUUAGAGGUGUCCAAUUGUUAUGAAACUUUAAAUUGGAGGUCCUUAUAUGGUAAUUAUAUCAUUGGUAACUUGGUAGACAAAAAUGGACAUGAGAUAAGUGAAAUAGAAAAUUUUUAAGUUAGGGGCAAUUUGGUAAUCUAGUAAUUAAAAUGAAUUAAAAGGGAAAAAGAUGGCAAAAAUCAUCUUCUUCAUAUGAACGAAAUCAGCAAGGGGGGAAGCCAUAGUUAGGGUUUUCAAGCUUCCAAGCUCCAUAGUAAGUGAUCCCAAGCCCCAUUUUUAAUGUUCUUUACGUUUUUGAGAUCCCGGUAGCUUAAUUUAGCUUAUUCUAGCAAUAAUUUAACCUAGGGUUUAUAUUUGGAAAAAUACCCAUAGGUGAAAAGUGUUUAUUUUGAUGUUUUAUGAUAGAAAAUAAAGCUAUAAAUUAUGUUAAACAACUUUUGCUAAGCGAUUUUAAGUGAAAACGAGUAAAACGACAUAAUCGGUAAAAAUACCUAAUGUUCAUAAGUACAUGUUAGAGUGGGAAUUUGAUGUUGCCAUAGAAGGGAAAAAUGUUCAGAAUGUUAUAAAACAUAAGAAUAAGAGAUGAAGUUUAAUUUCCGAGCCUUGGGGCAAAAAUGUAAUUAUGUAAAAGUUUAGGGGCAAAAUUGUAAUUUUGAAAAAGUUAGAGUCGAGGGCUGUUUUGAUGAAUGUGAUUAUUAAAUAAGUUAAAUUUACUAUUUUAGAUCAAGAAGUACGAAACUCGAGGUUAGACAAAAGGAAGAAUAAAGUUGAAGACUAAGUUGGUGAAUUUGGCUAUAAUUGGUACCGAGGUAAGUUUACGGUAAAUAAAUGUAAUAUUUCAAUAUUUAUUAUUAAUGCUGUUAAUUUCCAGCAAUUAUGAAUUUAUUUUAUGAAUUUAUUUGAUGAUGAUCCAAGCAUGAAAUGAUAGAGAAUUAAAAUUUAAAAGUCCCGUUGAUACAUAAGGAUGGUACUGGAUACGAAUGUCAUGACAUUUGGGUAAAGAGAUCCCAUGUAAGACCAUGUCUGGGACAUGGCAUUGACAUCCUUAAGAUCAUGAGAGGUCCCCUGUAAGACCAUGUCUGGGACAUGGCAUGGGCACCGAGACGAGAGGUCCCAUGUAAGACCAUGUCUGGGACAUGGCGUUGGCACCGAGAUGAGAGGUCCCCUAUAAGACCAUGUCUGGGACAUGGCAUGGGCACCAUCACGAGAACAUCCCAUGUAAGACCAUGUCUGGGACAUGGCUUUGGCAUGUUAUUAUCAGAAGAGACCCGAGUAUCCUUAUUAUUCCAAUGUAGCUCAACGGGCUUGUAAACGAAUCAUGUUCAUGAAAGUUCAGUUUAAAGCAUAAAUGGCAAGCUCAGGUAAGUUGUAAGACUUAAGAACUUAUUAUACUAUCAAUUGAUGUUCAACGAUGCAGCAAGGAUUGAGUAAGUUAUGCACACAAGUAUUCUAAGUAAACAAGUAAGAGAACUAGUAUGAGAUUAACUAAAGAGUAAACUAGAGAUAUAGACAUUGAGUUUAAUUAUUUAAGUUAAAUAUUGUUAUUUAUUUGCUAGUAAACUUACUAAGCUUUAUGCUUACUUCUUUUAUUUCUCUUUCUCUUAUAGUAUUGCAAAGCUACUUCAAGGAUCCUAAAGAAGUCGGAGAUCGUCCACACUAUCAACUACAACUGCUCGGUAUUUUAUAUCGAAACACGUUUGAGUUAUGGCAUGUAUAGGGAUUUAGUUAUUUUGUAUGUUUGUAAUGAUGAUUUUGCUAAUGAGUGAUGUGUAAGUAUUUGAUGAUGUAUGGUUAUUAAAAUGAUUAAGGAUGAAGGUGUUUGUUGUUAUGAAAGAUUAGGUGAUAAAUUAUGCAUGGAAAUCAUGAAAGGAUAAAAUUUUGCAAAGAAACAGAAUUCAGGCAGCACAGUGACGUGAAUUUGAAAAUCACCCAAGAUAGUAUAAAAUGAAUUAGAGGGUGAAUGAUAUAUGGAAUUAAAGCUUGUUGAGUCUAUUUUCAUGGAAAAAUAACGGUGUAGAAAAAGGAAAUUUAUAUUUUAUGAUAUGUGAAUUUUAGUAAGAUAGGGUCAGAACUGUUUUUGGAGUCCCCUGUUCUGAGUUUAGAAAAUAAUUAAAAAUUGUACAAAAAUGGUUAUGAGUUGAAAUUUACAUGCUUAGAUUUAUUAAUGAGUCUAUUUUCUGUAGAAACAAGUAAGAACUUCAUAUGAAAAUCCUACAGUGAGAAAACUUAUUUUUAGUGACUAGAGGUCAGGGCAGUCAGGUGGUGAAACAGGGGAGACUUUAACUAAUAAACUGUACUAAUUUGCUGAACCAAAAAUUCUAAAAAUUUUAUGGUGAGUAGAUAUAUGAGUCUAGUUUCAGGGAAAAUUUACGGAAUUAAAUUUCGAGUUCUGUAGCUCAAGUUAUAAUUAAUUUAGUAACUGCUGCGCGAUUGGACAGAUUUGCUGCGAAUAAUGAAAUAAAUUUUCAAACCUAGUUUUUAUGCUCCGAAUUGGUAAGAUAAGCUAAGUAAUGCCUCGUGCUCGACUCCGGAAACGGUCUCGGGUAAGGGGUGUUACAAUAUAUCCCAGGGAGGAGAAUCAAUGUGCUGACUAUCUUGCCAAAUUGGCCUUUGAAAGGAAAAAGGAUUUACAACUGGUUGAAACCCUCCAGAUGCAGUGUUAGAUUUCCUUAAUUGAAAUAAAGAAAGGAAUUUUUAUACCUCUCGAAUAUUUCAUGUAAUUUAAUUUUGUUAUGCUUCUUUUCACAAAAAAAAAUUGGAUCGUUUAGUUUUAAGUGGUAAAAUGACUAAAAUACCCUUAAGGUUAAAUCCUUACAAAUAGUUUUAAAAUGGUUCACAAAUCGCUUCCGCAAUAAGAUUAGAAAGUUAUUAGUUAGAAUUGAGGUGUUAUAAGGUUGGAGUGUCUUUUGGGGUGGUUUUGUGCUAGAGAAUCACUUUGGUGGCUAAUGUAUCACUUCAGAUUCGGGUCGGUCCGUUCCGGUCGGGUUUAGGGUGUCACAAAAUUCACAUCUCAUAAAAUUAUUUCAAAGGAAUAAUUAAUCUUAUAUAUAUACUUACCAAAUAAUACAAUGUAUAAAAGCAACGUUUUUAAAUAGUUUAGAUUAUAGAAACACAAAUCGUAAAUUUCAAGUUAUUCCUCGUUGACCUUAUCUUUUCCUUUCUUUUUCAAGUAUUCCGAAACAACGUUAGCUAUGGAUUGAAAUAAUUAAAAUAAAUUAACAAUACAAAACCCAAUUCACAUUCAAUUACAAAAUUUGUACUAUUUUUGCAUAAAGCUCGAUUUAGUCCCUAAAACUGAAACUAACUUAACUUCCACAUUUAACCUCAAAUUUUUAUACCAAUUUCACUCUAAUCUAAAUUUAGCUCCCUAUUUCUCAGUUCUACCCCAUAAUUUUGAAUUUUCAUAAUUUGGUCUCUAUUAUUUAAAAUCAACAAUUAACUUCACAAUUGAUAAAAAAACAAUUAACUUCAUAAUUUAGUCCUUUUUCACUUCUAACCUAAAAAUCUAUCAAAUUAAUCCCUAAAGUUUUAACUACUCAAUAAUGAUAGCAACUAAAAUCUUAAGCAGUACCGAAAAAUAGUACAUAGGUCAACUAACUCGAAGUACCGAGAUUUCAAAAAUAUAAAAAUUACAAGGAAAUGACUAAAUUGAGCAUACCAAUUUUUGAGCUUGGAUAAUGAAGUCCUUAGCCGUUCGUCAUUUCCUUCUUCCUAAGGGGUUUCGAAAUUUGCAUGUGAAAAGAGAAGAACAUUUUCUCUUUUAUCAUUUUCUUUUUAAUUUCAUUCUGUUUUCAAUUUAUAAAUUAAACCUUAAUUUGACUAAAGCUUUUAAAAAUAAAAUACAUAUAUAUCGGCCACACAAAUCUAUACAUAUAAUUAUGGUUUAUUCACUUAAUAAGUCCCCUAAUCAUAAUUUGAUUCCUAAUUUCAUUAUAGUUCAACUUCUAACACUUAAUCAAUUUAGUCCUUAUAUUUAUUUGAAGCACCAAUUCGAUAAAAUUUCUUAACCAAAAUUUGAUUUGUCUCUAAUAUAACUCCGUAAAUAUUUAAUAAAAAUAUUUAUGAGUCUAGUUUACGGAAACGAGGUCCCAAAAUCACACUUUCCGUUACCCCUAACUUUCGAGUCGUUACAAUUAACUUAAAAUGAUUAAAAAUAUUAAAGAAAAGCAACAAUAAUUAAAUUGAAAUGAGGCGGGGAUGAAAACAUCCAACAUUCAUAGAUAUAGUAAUGUUUUCAAGAUUAUAAAUAUAUAGUAAAGCGGGCUGAUUGACGGAGUAGAGUGCGCUGACUAUGGAGCAAUGAUAGAUUUAACAAUAAUUACCUGCCAGCUCCAUUGUCAUUCCUAAGUAUGGAUUUAUUACUUUGUAAAAAAAGAAAUCACUUUAGUUAGUUUCAACAGAGUUGGUGUAUAGUUAAGUAUGUAUAUAUAUAUAAAUGUAAUUUUGAUGUUAAUUAGUAUGGUUUCCACUCAUGCUUCGCAUUGGAUUAAUUAUUAUUAUUUGAUUAAAUUAUAGAGUAAAAAAUUUAAAGGUAACAAUAAACUCAAAGUUCUUGUACUCUUUGUAUAUUUAAAAUUUAAUCUUCAUACUUCUAUUUUUAGGAAUUUAAUCUCUUUACUUUUUGAAUUUAAAAAUUUAGGUCCAUUCGGAAUAUAUAAAACAUUUAGACUAUCUAAUGGAGGUAGUAAACUAUGCCAAAAUUAAAGUACAGAAAUUAAAUUUCAAAUUUAAGUGAAAAUAUACUAUUUCUAUAUUAUCUCAAAAAUGUAAAAAUAAAGGGAUUAAAACUGACAGCUUGUUUGGUUUGGUGUAUUGGUUAAGCCAAUACACCCUUAAUCGGUGGGCCCCACCUAAUACCUCUCUAACACGUCGUUUGGUUUGAUGUAUUGGUAAUACGCAUCUAAUCCAUUACCUUCUUAAUCGGUGAAAACCACCGAUUUCUAUUCCCCCCUCUUUGCCCAGAUUAGCUACCGAUUGAGCAUCACCUCCCUGAUUUGCCCUCCCCCCAUCCCCUUGUUUCUCUUCUGUUCGUUCAUCCGAUUUCCUUCCUUAUUUCUUUGCUUUUGUUUUCUUCCGAUUUCCUCCCAGUCCAUUAUGCCUCUUUGCUGCCGAUUUGUUCCCUCCGUUUCCUUUCUUUUCUUUUUCGCUCUGCCACUCUUUCGAUUGCCUUCUCAACCAGUCGACCUUCUUCUUCUCAACCAGUGAAACCAAAAAAGCCGACGAUAUCCCCACUGUCACCGUAGCAUCGCUGGUUCUAUCGUCGACAACGCUCAGUCUCUCGAGCUCGCCACUCGAGUAAUGGAAAAUCCCUCUGUUUCUCUUCACUCUUUCUACCCUAUGUUACAAAUUUUCAUUUAAUUUCUCCUUUUUCUUUCAGUUGGCAAGUCAAAUUGCUCAUGCUGCUACUAUUUUUCGGAUCAAUGAGUUUUUUUUAACCUAAUUUCUUAUUUGUUUAAUGGUCUAAUUAUUGUUUUAGGCCAUCUAUUAUGCUGAAAUUUGGGAUGUUGCCUCCACUUGAUGCUCCACAUCAUCUGCGUAAGCAUGAGUGGGCUCCCUACCGGGAAGGUAAAGUUUGGCUGCUGCCUUUUGUGAUUGUUAUAGGUUUCUUACUAGGUCUAUAAUUGUUAAAAGGUGAAUUGUAGGAAGGAUAGAUGCGGACAGAUAAAUUGGAUUAUUUUUACUUUUUUGUUGAAUUAUUUUCACUCUUGAAUUAUAAACUUCAUCUUGUUUCCUUGUUCUUGCUGGUAAUUCACAAUUAGUUCUUGUGUAGCCCUGUAUAUGGUUGCUGUAGAAAGACAAAGACAGAACAGAGAUCAAAUGAUGGCAGAAAGUUUAAAGGCCAUGGAAUCAGAAGGUAGUGGUGAGCGAGUUUGAGCAUUGACAUGUUUAAAUGUUCAUAGGUUACUUAUAACAAACUUGCUAAUGAGCUUCCCCAACACUUCCUUGUGUUCUUACCUUUUGUGUGGAAGUCUUGUGAUGUGUGGGUUGCAAAGAUUUUUUUUCACCUAUGGUAAAUGGUAAUAAUUUGUUUGUUGUUGAGUUUCGAUGGAUGAAUAUCUAAGACUGAUGAUGAAUGUUCCGCUUUGAGAACGAAAAAUAAAUGAUCAUCUGCCCCCUUUGUUGGGCUAUCGAUCUUUUGCAUCUUGGUAUUGCAUAGAAUUGUUAGAAACUCUCAAAGAAUACAAACUCGUAAUGUGGCAAUGAAAAUAAAAACCAGUAUCUUUUGAGAUGAUCCUAUCUCACUGUCUGUAUUCAUUUGAGCUCGUUCUUAGCCACAGCCUCAAACCAUUAGUAAAUGCCAGAACUGUGUCCUACAGUCCCCCAUGGAUGAAGUUGUCUUCCUCCUAGGAGAGUUUAAUAUAUUUACUAUUUACCAUUUUCAUAUGUUUGGAAUGUAAGAAAAUACAAUGCAAGCUCAUGCAAAUAUAAUAUUUAUGCAAUUAACAACCACAAAUUAGGAGAAUCAAUUGUAAUAAACUUCAUGAAAUCCUUUUCUUUGUUUACAAUUCGUGCUACUACCUACAUGUUAGAAUCUGUGAAUCUGUGAACCUAUGAAUCUCGUUUCUUUGGUGAGGAUGAACCAGAGGGGAAUCCAAAGAAAACCGUGAGCUUAUAAGGAAUAUAAUUCAAGCACUUCGCAUAUGAUUUCCUCAUGCAUUCAGUUAUGCAAAGCCCAAAUAUUAUUAAUAUUUCACUUUGUUGUUCUCUUCUCCGUAUACCUGCAGUUAUUAUUAGACAAUUACUGUGCUAUUGUGUCAUUCUCUUAUAACAGACACAGUCACAUAGAUGAUCUUUGUAAGUCAUCCUUCUGAAAUCUAGAGAUAGUCAAAUGGGAAAGAGUCGUAGGCAGUCUAAGAAGAGGUGUACAAAACCGACUCAGAGUUUCAUUAGAAACUGCCAAUGGUGCGUCUGGAUUUAACCUUAGCUACUGGUUGCAACUCUAUGUCAUUGAAUGUACUAUUGCGGGGUUCAUGCGUAUCAAUCAAAUGGUGGUAAUCUUCCUCGACUGAUGUUAUUGUGUUUGUAUCUGUCAUUAUGAUUGAGCAUGUUUCUGUGUCUAUGUUACCGUUGCAAUGGGAACUAACCAAAACUUGGAUUAUGGUAAUAAAAUUGUUCUUAUACUAUUUCAUGUUUCAUGUUUCAUUGUUAUGUAAUUGUUUUUCUGAAUUGUUUUUCUGAAUUUAGCUGAUUGCAUUGAUUGUUUUAAUUCAUAGGAUCAGUGAUGGACAUCAUUCAGCUUCAUUGUUUAGUUUCUGGCAUUGGUGCUCAUGACAUAGGCAGAGUAAGUAGAGAUUCCCUUCUGCUGAAAACGAGGAACAAGUAAGCUUUUGAUUUCUUCUGCUGAAUGCUUGCUUUAUAUUGUAGUUGAACUAAGAUCUUGAGGCAGUACUGCAACUUGUCAACAAAUAUGUCUUCUGGUUUUUGGUGCUUUAGAGGAAACAUGUGCUCUUGGCAAUUUAGCCUUCCUGGAGAGGUAAAUUACUUUUGAUUCAUUGUGAUUUUUUAGCAACCUUACCUCAUGGCCUUCUAUUUCCUGAUUUAUCAAUGCAUCAUAUAAAUCCAGAAUUGGCAGAGAUUGCUUUUUCCCUUAACUUGUGGAAUGGACACAUGAAGUUGGAGGUUAUUUUCAAUGGCAACUUUAGACAGUAUUCGUUUUCCUGCUAGAUUGGUGAGCUAUUUUGUUUGAAGUGAAGAAUCGGUUUCAUGGAAGGCCAAUUGGAGUUGAGAGCAAGGUGAAAGAGAUAUUGUAUCAGCUUGAAUUUCUUCUAUUGAAUGCUUGCUUUAUAUUUUUAGUUGAAGUGAGAUAUUGAGGCAGUACUUCUGUUUAAUUCAGAAUUGUUGUAAAUUCAAUCGAGUUCUUGAUGAUAAUUCGAUAUGGUUAUGUUUUUUUUUUAUUUUUUAGAGUUCAAUUCUUACUUAUUAAAUUUUAUUAGUUAUAAUUAUUUUAAAUUUUAUUAAAUCAUAUAUUUUAAUUAAAAUAUAUUUAAUAUUAAUUAUUUCAAAUUAUCUUUUAUAGUAUCAUAUAAUAUAUUAUGAUUUGAGUAAAUUCAUAUAAGAAUAUUAAUUAUUAAGAAUUUUAUUAAAUUAUAUAUUUUAAGUAUAAUAUAUUUAAUAAUAAUUAUGUUUAAAUAUGAUUAAAUUAUUUAUUAUUCAUAUUAAUAAUCUUAUCAAAAUUUAAAUAACAAUAACAAUAAUAAUUUACCAAAACAAAUUUCUGGUAAUUAUUAAGAAUUUUAUUAAAUUAUAUAUUUUAAUUAAAAUAUGUUUAAUAAUAAUUAUGUUUAAAUAUAAUUAAAAUAUUUAUUAUUGAUAAUAAUAAUCUUAUUAAAAUUUAAAUAACAAUAACAAUAAUCAUUUACCAAAAUAAAUUUAUGCUAAGAGUAUUCUAGUCAUUUUAAUUUUUUCCACUAUGCUAUUACACCUCUAUUCCAUUCAACCAAACACAAGAUUACUAUUACGCAUCUAUUCCAUUACAUUCAACCAAACAGUUAAUUUACUAUUACACCUCUAAUCUAAUACACUUCUAAUCCAAUACACCUCUAAUCCAAUUCAGCGAACUAAACUAAACGCACUCUGAUAUUUAACCAUUAUCUUAUGUAAGAAGGCCCUAAGUCAUUCCAUUUAUACGAGUAUAGAUAUUUUGAUCUGCAGAUCGUCGGUAAUCACCUUCCCGUAAGAAUCUCUUACAUUUUAAAAGGUAAACUCUCUCGCUUUUUAUUUUUUAUUUUCUUGAUCGCUUUCGCAUUCUUCGAUCUCGAGUCAGUUUUCUUUAUGUGAUCAUUUCUGUUUAUCUCUUCAUUGGUGCGUACGGAUGUUAAUUACUUUCCUAUAACAAUUUCGGAGUUUGCCCCCGUUCUUUUUAAUUAAUUGUUUUUUUGUUGAUGGAUAACAUUUAUUAUUCUCAAUUGAUUGUUCCCUGCUGUUGUUGCAUGAUUGUUAUGAUCCGGGACAUUAAAUUUUGGUUGGAAUUUCAAUUAGGGUUCAUACUAAUCAGCCCAGUUCUUGUUUGUGCCAUUUUUUCCUCUUUUUACCAGUAAUUGCGUGUUUCAUUCAUGGACACAUAAUUCUCAUGUAUAUAAAUUUGAUCAAGACUUGGCUUUUUUGUUAGGCCCCAACAUCCAGAAGGAUGAAUAAUUCCGCAAAUGGGAAUGUAAAAUAGAAAGAAAAAAAAAGCUCGAUCUUUUUAUGAGACAAAAGUUCCCAAAUCUGGAGACAAAGUUGUUUUACUCUUGCUUUUCGGAUAUUUCAUGCUUGAAUAAAAACGCAAAUCUCUUAUCUGUCUUAACAUGAUUAUGGCAUAAUUGAAUUGAAAAUGUUGCAAAAAUAACUUCAAAAUGUAGUUAAUUUCUCGAAAUUACUUAUGGCGGCAUUGACUUGUGCACUCUCAGUCUUUAAUUAGUUUAUCUAUAUGCUGAUGGAAGUAUUUCGUACAUGUUGAGAAUUGGCAUAAAACUGUUACUAUUAUAAAGGAUUUGUGAUUCUAUGGGCAUGUUAUUUUAGAUAUUUGUUUCCAUCUCCCUUUCUUUUUCCUUUAGCUGGAUUCCUAUGUAUAAGAGUAGGUUUGAUUUUCUUUGUAAUGUGACUAGGAUGAGGUUUUAGUAUCCUUUACUACCACUUGUACAAUAUCCUUAAAUUAGACUGUUGGAUAAUUUAAUUAUAAUUAAUGUUAAUCCUUUUUAUUGUCUUAAACAUAUCAUUGUUUAUAUUGUAACUUGUAUCAGUUGUUGCGGCAGUACAUGCCAUGUUUCUUUUCCCUAUGAUUUUAAAUGUCGUCAUCUGAUCAAUUUUGAUCAUCUCUUCACCAGUGUACGUAGCACAGAGUUUACUCCUUAGAAAUCAAUGAGAAGAGUAUCUUCCAAUUAAAUGUUGUGUGAUUCUCUAAGGGUAUUUACUUUAUAAUUGUUGGGUUACUAUAGUGCUUGAAGCUACAUUGGUACAGGUGUAGUUUUUUCUGGUGGAAUAUGUCCUAUUACCAAGAAGAUGAUGCUGAAUACAUGGCAGAGGAGUAUGACAUGGAGGACAUAGAUGACAUGGAUGAAGAGUUCUGCGGCAGAGAUAUGUCUGGCUCGGAGUCUGAUGUUGAUGAAUAUGAUUACUCGGUUUGUUUGAUGAUUUACAAGAUGCAAAUUGGACUUAAAUUAAUUCAUUCAUAACUUAGGCAAACGUAAAAUAAGUGUUUUUUAUUUUUUAAAAUUGGGAUAAAUCUCAAAACUAUACAUCAACUUUGAACAAAUGUGCAAUGUUAAUACAUAAAAUUUGAUUUUGUGCAAUUUUAUACUUGAAAUUUUCAUUUGAUUCAAUUUUCACAAAUCAUUAACAUAAUUAUAAAUAAAGAGUUACCUUACAAUUAUAUAUUGCAUAUAUAAAUAAUUAUUUUUAUCUAAUAAAUAAAUAAAAUUGAUAUAAUUAUUUUUUAAAAUGUGUACUGUUGAAUCAAAAUCAUAGUUUUAAGUAUACAUUUCAACUUCAAUCAAAGUUUCAUGUGUAUGAUUGUAUCAAAUCAAAGUUCAUGUAUCAAAUUUGCACAUUAGGUUGAAGUUAAUGUGUAGAUUUUGAGAUUUAUCCAUUAAUUUUUUUUUAAAGUUUCUGUUCUAGUUCUCAUGGAUUGCUAGCCAGCCUAACAUAAGUUGACGGUAUUGCAGAAUAAUAAAAUAUCUGAUACUUCUGCUGCUGAAGCUAGAAGAGGAAAAGACAUCCAGGGAAUACCUUGGGAUCAGCUAAGCAUCACUAGGGAAAAAUACAGGCAAACUAGGCUAGAACAGUAUAAGAACUAUGAGAAUAUCCCCCACUCUGGGGAAGUGUCAGGGAAGGUAAAAGUACUUAAAAGUUGCCCGCUUUCCUUCUAAAAUGUGCUAAAUUGAAAUUUCAAUUUGUAUGUAGGAUUGCAAGAUUACCAAGAAGGGUGCAUCAUACUAUGACUUCAGGCUAAAUUCAAGAUCUGUGAAAUCAACAAUACUUCAUUUUCAGGUUAGCUGAAUGGGAAUUUUCAUUCAAGACCUGUGAUGUCAUAGAAGGAUUUGUCUUUUUCUUGUUAAAAUUCUUUCUCAUAUCUUGUAGUUGUACGGCCAGUCCUUUCCUCUUUUACUGCUUGACUGUGGUGUGAUCAUUAUUGUUAGUGAUAGACAUAUCAAUUUGUGGUGAUGCAGUUGAGGAACCUGGUAUGGGCUACAUCAAAACAUGAUGUUUAUCUCAUGUCACAAUUUUCUGUCAUGCAUUGGUCUUCAUUGACACACAAGAAGCGUGAAAUUCUUAAUGUUUCUGGGCAUGUGGCACCAUCUGAGGUCUGUGCUCUGGCAGUGAUUUGGCACUUUAUCUGACUUGUUGGUCUUCUUCCUUUUCUUUUCUUGUUAUCCCCCCAUAUUGUUUCCUCAGAUUGAUUUGCGUGUUUUUCCCUUUUAGAAACAUCCUGGAAGUCUGAUGGAAGGUUUUACGCAAACUCAAGUCAGUACUCUUGCAGUAAAGGAUAACCUGCUAGUUGCUGGAGGAUUCCAGGGUGAACUAAUAUGUAAGGUAAGGAAAGCAACUUUUUUCCUUUCAAUCCUUCAUUGACAAAAAAGAGGUCAGAAAGAGGGAUAAGCCUUUGUGUAGUGAUUGCGGAGCUACUUUUCCAUGCAAUGUAGCUACUUUUCAGUUUUUGCAAGUCACUUGAAGCCUAACAUUUAUAUCUUAACUGUUAUAGACAAUCUAUUGUUGGACAUAUCUGUGAUCCUGUAAGAUGGAUCUGAGUAGAAGGUUCUAUUAUGCAUUUUAGAGCUAAUGAUUUUGCGCUCAUUCUGUUCCAAACCUUAUCUACUUGUUUGUCUUGUUUUGAACUACUUACUGCUUAAAACUUUGUGAAUGACAGGUAAAAAAAUGUAUUUGGAUAGUUUCUUUUUUCCCCUUAGCUCUUGGUUGCUGUUUUCCUGAUGCCAGUUAUUUAAGAAUUAAUUAGUCGAUUUUGAUCUGUAAUGUAGCAUUUAGAUCGACCUGGAAUAAGCUUCUGCUCCAGGACAACUUAUGAUGACAAUGCCAUUACAAAUGCCGUUGAGAUUUAUGUCACUCCAAGGUAUUUCUUGUUUCCUGAUCUGCUGUUGACAUUGAUCUCAGUCAACCUGAACCUAAUUUGCUUUGUUCCUGAAUUACCAGUGGCGCAGUUCACUUUACGGCCUCAAAUAAUGACUGUGGAGUCAGAGAUUUUGAUAUGGAGAAAUAUCAGCUUUCCAAGCAUUUUCAUUUUCUUUGGCCUGUCAAUGUAAGUUACAUACAUUAGGAUUUCAUUGUUUCAGAUCUGUAAACAUACACUAAUGUUAUUUUGUGUAUUAUUAAUUCUGAUUCUGUUAAUCCAAUAAAGGCAAAUGGUGAGAAAUACUUAAAAGUUAUGCUUGUAAUGUUGCUUUUGCAGCAUACUUCUCUGAGCCCUGAUGGGAAACUUCUAAUAAUAGUUGGAGACAACCCUGAUAUUAUGUUGGUAGACUCUGAUACAGGGAAGGUACUUGUCAUCCUGCUUUUGCAAUAUUGUUUACAUUUUUGGAGAUUGCAAAGCAUCAGCUGAUACUGAAAUUAAUUGCAGACUGUUAUGCCCUUGCGUGGACACUUGGACUUUUCAUUUGCGUCAGCAUGGCAUCCUGAUGGUGUCACUUUUGCAACCGGGAACCAAGACAAAACAUGCCGAAUUUGGGAUGUUCGAAACUUGUCAAAGUCAAUUGCUGUUCUAAAGGGAAACCUUGGAGCAAUACGGUCCAUUCGCUACACAUCUGAUGGUAAGUACAUGGCCAUGGCUGAGCCUGCUGACUUUGUGCAUGUGUAUGAUGUCAAAAGUGGGUACGAGAAUGAGCAAGAAAUCGAUUUCUUUGGUGAGAUAUCCGGCCUAUCCUUUAGUCCGGACACAGAGUCUCUCUUUAUUGGCGUAUGGGAUCGUACAUAUGGCAGCCUUCUUGAGUAUAGCCGGCAGAGGAAC